RNAcentral lists this ribosomal RNA (800 nucleotides) under uncultured Propionibacterium sp. RNAcentral describes it as "bacterial SSU rRNA". It matches the Rfam family "Bacterial small subunit ribosomal RNA", at positions 72 to 883 of the family's 1533-position model. Lineage: Bacteria; Bacillati; Actinomycetota; Actinomycetes; Propionibacteriales; Propionibacteriaceae. The record is from RNAcentral.
GCCCUGCUUUUGUGGGGUGCUCGAGUGGCGAACGGGUGAGUAACACGUGAGUAACCUGCCCUUGACUUUGGGAUAACUUCAGGAAACUGGGGCUAAUACCGGAUAGGAGCUCCUGCUGCAUGGUGGGGGUUGGAAAGUUUCGGCGGUUGGGGAUGGACUCGCGGCUUAUCAGCUUGUUGGUGGGGUAGUGGCUUACCAAGGCUUUGACGGGUAGCCGGCCUGAGAGGGUGACCGGCCACAUUGGGACUGAGAUACGGCCCAGACUCCUACGGGAGGCAGCAGUGGGGAAUAUUGCACAAUGGGCGGAAGCCUGAUGCAGCAACGCCGCGUGCGGGAUGACGGCCUUCGGGUUGUAAACCGCUUUCGCCUGUGACGAAGCGUGAGUGACGGUAAUGGGUAAAGAAGCACCGGCUAACUACGUGCCAGCAGCCGCGGUGAUACGUAGGGUGCGAGCGUUGUUCGGAUUUAUUGGGCGUAAAGGGCUCGUAGGUGGUUGAUCGCGUCGGAAGUGUAAUCUUGGGGCUUAACCCUGAGCGUGCUUUCGAUACGGGUUGACUUGAGGAAGGUAGGGGAGAAUGGAAUUCCUGGUGGAGCGGUGGAAUGCGCAGAUAUCAGGAGGAACAMCAGUGGCGAAGGCGGUUCUCUGGGCCUUUCCUGACGCUGAGGAGCGAAAGCGUGGGGAGCGAACAGGCUUAGAUACCCUGGUAGUCCACGCUGUAAACGGUGGGUACUAGGUGUGGGGUCCAUUCCACGGGUUCCGUGCCGUAGCUAACGCUUUAAGUACCCCGCCUGGGGAGUAC